This is a long non-coding RNA of Pan troglodytes (chimpanzee), 2901 nucleotides long. RefSeq lists it as uncharacterized. The record is from RefSeq and is a predicted model, not a curated record. The transcript is spliced from 6 exons. NCBI's taxonomy places the organism in Eukaryota, Metazoa, Chordata, Mammalia, Primates, Hominidae.
GUCUUGAUUGGGGUUCCUGGAGAGGAGGCCCCCUCUCCCUAGGUGGGGCUCCUGUUUCCCCUGCUCUGCUCUGAGGUCCCCAGGGUCCAGUCCCCUCCCCACCGUAUCCUGGAGCUUGUCAAGGCCACCAGAGACCUGCUCCCUGUGCCGUCUCAGACUGGACUCUGGGGUCUCCGGUGCCUCCUCUGAUUCUGCACCUCGGUGCAGCCUCUGGCCUGGCUGCGCUCUGAGGAGCUCCCUGUGGCCACCGAGCCCUUGGAACGCGGCCAGUUCCAUUCUCAAACUGCUGUGAGUGCAAAGCUCAUGCUGGAUUUUGAAGAUUUGAUAGAAUUUCACCGUGUUAGCCAGGAUGGUCUCAAUCUCCUGACCUUGUGAUCUGCCUGCCUCGGCCUCCCAAAGUGCUGGGAUUACAGGUGUGAGCCACCGCGCCCGGCCUGUCUUCUUCUUCCUAAGGUCUCACUCUGUCACCCAGGCUGAAGUGCAGUGGCACCAUCACAGAUCACUGCAGACUCCACCUCCUGGGCUCAAGCGAUCCUCCUGUCUCAGCCUCCCGAGUAGCUGGAACUCCCAAGUAACACACACAUUAGCAUGCCCAGCUAAUGUUUAAAUUAGGGUUUUAAUUCACAGAGAAAUAAAGAGCAUCUGAGCAUUCAUCUUCCACAAAAGCAAUCUGAAAUCGUCUCUGUAAGUGGGCGCCCUGUCUUUCUGCAGGCUCAGUGUGGAGAAUGAGGUUGCAUCUCAGGAUGGCCACAGCUCCUUCCUUCCCAAGCCCUUUCUUCAGCAGCCGUGGUGGGAGCUGCAGCGGAAAAGCCCCUUUGGAGUUGCAGCUAGAGGGUGCCUUCCAGGAGCUGCUGGGCCAGCUUCACCAAUGCCUGCAGGCGGUCAGGACAGAUUCAGAGAAGCUCUGGGUCAGAACGAGGGUGAAAAGCCCCUUCCUCGAGCUUCCGGUCGAACAGCCCCAUGGGGGUGCCCUGACCUUCUUGCUCUAAUGCAGCUGCUGUUCCCCGGGGCAGCGACUCCCCUUCUCUCCCUCCCAAGUGCGGCCCUGCCCUCUUCACAGGCACACACCCCACAGCACGUGCGGUGCCUCAAGGCGCCCAAGGUGCACGGGGAGGCCCAUCAGUGCUGUUCCCCAAGCCUCCAGCUUUCUUGCUGGAAUCUUUCUUCCCCACCCCUUUGCAGCUUGGCAUGAGCUUGUCACUUGAGGUGGCCAGUGAGAUGUUGUGGGCAUGAGAGGUGGUGCUAAGAGAUCAGGCGUGACUCCACCUCCCGUUCCCACCUCGGAGGCCUGGCAGCACAUGCUGGGGGCUCCCCAACCCGGGCGGCUGGGCGAGGACGAGGCGCAGACCCCAUACCCGCCACAGGCCCACACUGGAGGGAGUCAGCGGCUGAGUGUCGGGCUGUUCGUUACCACCGCACAGCCUGGCUCAUCCUGGCUCAUCCUGGCUCAUCCUGGCUGACUCGGGGCAGUGCUGCCCGGGCCAGGCGGAGCAGGGAGGACGUGGUGGGGUGUUUGGAAGGCGGAGCAAGAACCUAAUAAAUGUGAGCCCUGGACUCUGAGGCCGGGCAGUGAAUGUUCUGCGGGUGCUGUCUGCGGCCAGAUGUGGGUUUUGGCAUCAUGAGUUCAGGAGAGAACUGGCCGGAGGGAAGACUGCAGAGACCCUCAAAUGUCGAUCUCAGCGGUUGCGGCUAGGAUGGAAUCAAGAGCAGGCCACCGCACCCACCGCUGACAAAUCUCCAGCCUGGGUGACAGAGCCAGACCCUGCUGUCGGGCCUCCGAGCCCAAGCCUGGACAUGUACAUCCAGAUGGCCUGAGGCAGCUGAAGAACCACAAGAGAAGUGAAAAUGGCCAGUUCCUGCCUUAACUGACGACAUUGCCUCAUGAAAUUCCUUCUCCUGGACAGCAAGAAAGGGGCUGAGGAAGCCACUCAACUCUCCAGCACCCACCCUGUGGGGCCACGGAGGACCGUGGGGAUGGGAAGUGUCCUCUCCACCGAGCACAGCCCUCAUCUCUUCCCGGAAGUUGCUCCCCGGCGUCAGCGUCCUCACCCAGCCACCCCUGGGACUUUGGAGUUGCUGAAGAGCAUGACUGCUGGGAUCUGCCUUCUUCCCUUCCAAACCGUCGAAGCCCCUGUCCCUGCUCCUUGGUUGAAUACUCGGGGCAUGGGCAGAAAACUCUUCAUCUUUUUAAUUCAGGGCCCUCCAGCUUGGGAGGAGACACAGCUAGGCUGGACGCGGCAACUUGUGUACUUUUGACCUUCGUGUAGCUGGAGGACACCGGGUUGCCCUUGAGGAAGCAGGUGUAUUUUGCCUGCAGGAAGGGCAGUCUUCCGAGUACCUCGCAGGUGUCUGGAUGUGGUGCGCAUUGGUGCUGUUCAUCAGACACCUUCGGCUGUCCUCUGGGCAGAUGGCAGGGUUGUGUCUUCCCAUGGAGUUCCUUCCUUUCGCCUCAGUGACCACGGAGACGCACGUCGAGGUGUGACCUCGCCUGGGCCUCUGCAUGAGGGUGGGGAGCAGAGUCCUCCUUAGUGGGAGUGGAGCGUGCACGGGACGUAAUUACGUGGGGCCAUUUGUUACGCAGCCUAACACAGCCUGUCCUGGCUGAUGCAGAUGGCCAUUGCAGCAGUCAUCUGCAGGUCCUCAGCUUAGUCUCACCCUCACUGGAGAUCGUAGCCUUGGCCUCACAGAUGCUCCAGAUCUUUUCCUGGCAGAAUUUUGGUGACUUCAGAAAUAUGAUUACUGCUGAACCCACUUCUCCCAGCAUUUCUAUUUGUGGUUGCCUGGUGUGUUUAAAGUCUGUGUUGAUGGGUGCGUAUAUUUUUAACGUUUCCCUAUUGUGAAAUUUAAUAAAUUUACAGCAAAAUGUAUAAAAUACGAAAGUAAAAAACUAUCACCCUAGUC